RNAcentral lists this ribosomal RNA (254 nucleotides) under uncultured bacterium. Its description in RNAcentral is "partial 16S ribosomal RNA". It matches the Rfam family "Bacterial small subunit ribosomal RNA", at positions 524 to 776 of the family's 1533-position model. The record is from RNAcentral.
UACGUAGGGUGCGAGCGUUUGUCCGGAAUUAUUGGGCGUAAAGAGCUUGUAGGCGGUUUGUCGCGUCUGCCGUGAAAAUCCGGGGCUCAACCCCGGACUUGCGGUGGGUACGGGCAGACUAGAGUGUGGUAGGGGAGACUGGAAUUCCCGGUGUAGCGGUGAAAUGCGCAGAUAUCGGGAGGAACACCGGUGGCGAAGGCGGUUCUCUGGGCCUUACCUGACGCUGAGGAGCGAAAGCGUGGGGAGCGAACAGG